UCCUGCAAAAAAAAAAUUUCACACACAUUUUUCCCGUAAAAGUGUUUUUUUGGCGGGAAAUAGAUUUACAAGAGAUUUUAAAAGGGUUUUAAAAGAUUUUAAAAGAUUUACAAAAGAUUUUAAAGGGUUUAAAAGAUUUACAAGGGAUUUUAAAAAGGUUUUUAAAAGAUUUACAAGGAAUUUUAAAGGGCAUUAAAAGAUUUUAUAAAGAUUUUAUAGGGUUUAAAUGUGUUUUAAAAUAUUUACAAGGAAUUUUUAAAGGAUUUUAAAAGAUGUACAAGAGUUCUUAAAAGAUUUUAAAAGAAUUUAUAAGAAAACCCUUUAAAAACUCUUGUAAAUCUUUAUAAAACCUUUUGUAAAGGUUCACAAGAAUUUUAAAAUGGUUCAAAAAGAGUUGUAAAUGUUUUAAAUACUUAAAAUUCUUUUUCUAAGAGUUAAAAACUGUUUAUAAAGACUUUAUAAUAGUUUUAAAAGGAUUUACAAAGGUUUAAAAUCCUUGUAAAUCCUUUUAAAACUCUUUAAAAACUCUUGUAAAUCAUGUUUUACCCUUUUAUAAGCUUUUAAAAUCCUUGUAAAUCAUUCUAUACCACUUACUUAUCCUUUAAAAACGAUUGUAAACCAUGCAAACCCUUUUUAAAAUCUCUUGUAAAUCAUUUUUUGACACUUACUUAUGCUUUAAAAACGAUUGUAAAUCAUGUUAACCCCUUUUAAAAUCCCUUGUAAAUCAUUCAAUGUCACUUAGUUAUGCUUUAAAACGAUUGUAAACUAUACAAACACUUUUAAAAUCCCUUGUAAGUAAUUCUAUGCCAUUUACUUAUGCUUUAAAAACGAUUAUAAAUCAUGUUUUACCCUUUUAUAAGCUUUUAAAAUCCCUUGUAAAUCAUUCCAAUGCCACUUACUUAUGCUUAAAAGAACAUUAUAAACCAUGCUAACCCUUUUUAAAAAUCAUUGUAAAUUAUUCUAUGCCACUUACUUAUGCUUUAAAAUCGAUUGUAAAUCAUGUUUUACCCUUUUAUAAGCUUUUAAAAUCCCUUGUAAAUCAUUCAAUGCCACUUACUUAUGCUUAAAAACGAUUGUAAACCAUGCUAACCCUUUUUAAAUCUCUUGUAAAUCAUUCUAUACCACUUACUAAUGCUUUAAAACGAUUGUUAAUCAUGUUUUACCCUUUUGUAAGCUUUUAAAAUCCAUUGUAAAUCAUUCAAUGCCACUUACUUAUGCUUAAAAAACGAUUGUAAAUCUUGUAAAACUAUUGAAAAAAGUUUUAAAAUAAUUUACAAAGGUUUAAAAAGGGGUUUUAAAGUAUUUACCUAUGUUUUUAAAAACUUUAUAAAGAUUUUAAGAGGUUUUAAAAUAAUUUACAACGGUUUUUAGCAACUACCAAAGUUUUUAAAAAACUUUACAAGGAUUUUUAAAAGCAUUUUUUUGGCUGCGAAAAAAUUUCACGAGAAAAAAUUUUGGCGGAAAAAUAUUUUUUUGGCGGGAAAAAAAGUUUGGCGGAAAUUUUUUUUUGGCGGGAAAAAUAAAUUUUGGCUCCAAAAAUUCGGCGGAAAACUUUCAGUUUCUAAUUACAUGUUCUUAUUAGAUGAGGGUAAUUUGGUCAUUCUGUUCAAGGAAAGGGAUAAUUUUAAAAAUGAACGGUGUAAAAGGGUAUUGUUUCAAAAGGGUAGUAAAAAAAGGGUAGUUUUGCAAAUCUCCCUUCUAAGUUAGGCCAAAAAUUAGAUCCUCUAAUACAAAGAAAACUUGUUUCUUACCAAAACAACUUGUAUACAAAUUUUACACAUUUACUUAAAACUACAUAUGUUGUAUUUAUUAUAAAAAUAAUAUUUUUAAACAAAGUUAAUCCUUUGACUAA
Molecule: small RNA, 1852 nt
Filed under: Arabidopsis thaliana (thale cress)
Lineage: Eukaryota; Viridiplantae; Streptophyta; Magnoliopsida; Brassicales; Brassicaceae
Description: ATSL152970
Source: RNAcentral